CUCCAACUUGGUUGAACUGAGACUCAUAAAAUUAUUCUCAAGUAUUCUCUGACCAACAAGAGAAUAAUUAAAUUAAUGAUGCUUCUUCGUAGCUCUUCAAGUCCAUUAUUGAAGCAAUAUUAUUCAUGGCUACCACAAUUAUCCCCAGGACCAAAAUACUUGUCAAGAUCAUCUACAUCACUCUCAAGCUCAUCACUAGAUUCAGUACAAAAGAUGUCCAGAGCUUUGUCUGAGACUGAUCUUAAACUGUUCAAUAGACCAUCAUCUUCAAGCAGUACUUGUUGCAUGGCCAUGCACAACAUACUUCCUAUCACAGUUGAUGAAGAAACAUAUGAAGAGGAGAAAGAAGAUAAGGUCACCUCAGAGGAUGUAUAACAGGUAAGGCUGAAUAAUGGAUUGAUGUUGUUUCCGAAUUAUCGGUUGGAAACGGGUGAGGGGCGUGAAGUUGAGGAAGAGAAACACACGAGGGCGGUGGAGAUGGUGGUUGACGGCGGUGGAAGUGGUGGAGACGGUAGAGGAAAGAAAUGUGGUGGUGGAGGUGGUGAUGAUUCUAAUGGUGGAAAUGGUGAUGGUUUUGAGUGGGAUUCAAAUCAUGGGAGUGAUAGUACUGAUUUGUAUUACAAAAGAUGAUUCAAGCUAAUCCUGGGAAUUCACUGCUUCUUGGAAAUUAUGCAAGAUUCUUGAAAGAGGUCCGUGGAAACUUUGUGAAAGCAGAAGAAUAUUGCGGGAGAGCAGUUUUGGCAAAUCCAAGUGAUGGAAAUGUACUUUCAUUAUAUGCUGAUUUAAUUCGGAGAUCCCAUAAAGAUGCCUCUCUUGCUCAAAACUACUUUGAGAAAGCUGUUAAAGCUGCACCAGACGAUUGGUAAGAAUAAUUCUUAUAUAUGACA
This is an RNA transcript of Lycium barbarum (goji berry), 887 nucleotides long. RefSeq lists it as uncharacterized. Lineage: Eukaryota; Viridiplantae; Streptophyta; Magnoliopsida; Solanales; Solanaceae. The record is from RefSeq and is a predicted model, not a curated record. The transcript is spliced from 4 exons.